GAUGAACGCUGGCGGCGUGCCUAAUACAUGCAAGUCGAGCGAACAGAUGAGGAGCUUGCUCCUCUGACGUUAGCGGCGGACGGGUGAGUAACACGUGGAUAACCUACCUAUAAGACUGGGAUAACUUCGGGAAACCGGAGCUAAUACCGGAUAAUAUAUUGAACCGCAUGGUUGAAUAGUGAAAGACGGUUUUGCUGUCACUUAUAGAUGGAUCCGCGCCGCAUUAGCUAGUUGGUAAGGUAACGGCUUACCAAGGCAACGAUGCGUAGCCGACCUGAGAGGGUGAUCGGCCACACUGGAACUGAGACACGGUCCAGACUCCUACGGGAGGCAGCAGUAGGGAAUCUUCCGCAAUGGGCGAAAGCCUGACGGAGCAACGCCGCGUGAGUGAUGAAGGUCUUCGGACCGUAAAACUCUGUUAUUAGGGAAGAACAAAUGUGUAAGUAACUAUGCACGUCUUGACGGUACCUAAUCAGAAAGCCACGGCUAACUACGUG
Molecule: ribosomal RNA, 497 nt
Filed under: uncultured bacterium
Lineage: Bacteria
Description: partial 16S ribosomal RNA
Rfam family: Bacterial small subunit ribosomal RNA
Source: RNAcentral